RNAcentral lists this ribosomal RNA (255 nucleotides) under uncultured bacterium. RNAcentral describes it as "partial 16S ribosomal RNA". It matches the Rfam family "Bacterial small subunit ribosomal RNA", at positions 524 to 777 of the family's 1533-position model. The record is from RNAcentral.
UACGAAGGGGGCUAGCGUUGCUCGGAAUCACUGGGCGUAAAGCGCACGUAGGCGGAUCUUUAAGUCAGGGGUGAAAUCCCAAGGCUCAACCUUGGAACUGCCUUUGAUACUGGGGAUCUCGAGUCCGGAAGAGGUUGGUGGAACUGCGAGUGUAGAGGUGAAAUUCGUAGAUAUUCGCAAGAACACCAGUGGCGAAGGCGGCCAACUGGUCCGGUACUGACGCUGAGGUGCGAAAGCGUGGGGGAGCAAACGGGG